UUUACACUCAUACUUAAAGUUGAAUUAGAAAAGAUAAAAUUGAAGAAUAUUGGCUUUAAGAUAAUUGCCCUUCUGGAAAAGAAAGGGGGAGUCAAAAAGAACUUAGCUUUCAAUUAUCUUUAGCAUCAAUAUUUCAUUUUAACUUGAUAAAAAUUCAGUUGAUAUGCUAAAAUUGCUUAAGAGCUAUUAAGAUCAAUCUUAUGCAUAAGGAUAGAACUGAAAAUUGACUAUUUUGAAUUAUGCACACUGUAUCUAGCUCUAAUCAAAACAUUAUACUUGUACAUCUGAUCAAAUACUGUGUAUAUGUUUAAAUUUCGAAUUUUGCAUAUACUCAGUAUUUUGUCAUCAUCAAAAAGGGGGAGAUUGUUGACCCCCUAAUGGAUUUUGAUGAAUACAAAAUACUAGAGUAUAAUUCCAUUUAUCUUAACAAUUUACUU
This 437-nucleotide long non-coding RNA is filed under the name Phoenix dactylifera (date palm). Its description in RNAcentral is "long non-coding RNA (PDAC_LNC020362)". Lineage: Eukaryota; Viridiplantae; Streptophyta; Magnoliopsida; Arecales; Arecaceae. The record is from RNAcentral.